Drosophila obscura is the source of this 987-nucleotide long non-coding RNA. RefSeq lists it as uncharacterized. The transcript has 5 exons. The record is from RefSeq and is a predicted model, not a curated record. NCBI's taxonomy places the organism in Eukaryota, Metazoa, Arthropoda, Insecta, Diptera, Drosophilidae.
UUUUCCUAACAUUCAAUCGCUUAUCCCUUUUACUUUUACUUCAAAGUGAGAACACUUCAUUUCGUAACAACAAAAUAUCGAAAUUCAAAACGCAUAAACCUCGCUGCCAGCCGAUUGCAUUUUGGUCUAUCAGCAGUUUUUGGAGAGGGGCACAUGCUGGGAUUUUCAACUGCAGGAACUCCGUUCUCUACUAUAAGUGUCUAUGUGUCCCACUGUGCCCAAACGCCCGCCCAAUGCGCUCUGUUCUUUUCUAUUUUGGAUGCAAUGUGUGCAGUGUAGGUGCAUACACAGCGACAAACGAAGAAGAGUUUAAGGAAACAUAUUGGAUGCAAAUGAUUUCGGCAGUCUACCAAAGAGUCUGUUCGUUGCCAGAGAGUGCAGCUCUUCCGAAGCUUCUCUUUGUCAGGCUUCGGCUUUAAUCUCGUGUUUGAUCGAAGUCUUCGACGUCGUCUACUCCCCAGUCUUUAGCUUCAACCUAGCAAUUGGAACUUGCUCGGGGUUUUCGCCUUCAUCGACUCUUGGGCGUCUCCCCUAAGCUUCCACAAGGGCUUUGAAGCUAAACAUCUCGCCUCAGAUGAAGCCGGUUCCCGUCAGCUGGAUGCGGCAAUAACUCUGCAUUUUUUUUUGGUUUAGUCUCCAAUUUUGCGCGACUGGAGCUUGCACCAACAACGAGUCCGCUUCUUCUGCUUGUCAGGAGUUGUCGACUGGCUACAGACUUCGCCUGAAUUUUCUCAAGAAGUGCCGGCAAAACAUCAAAAGGCACCAAACUGCAAUCGUGAGGAGCGGCUCUGGGCGGGAGCACUGGGAGUUGGAGGAGCAUGGAUAACGGCGAACGGGAGGGGGGCAGGAGAAAUCCGGUGGAGCAAUCAUCUGGGCAAUUUGCAUUUUCAAUUUGCAACAACAAACAAGAAUCAUCGCCCAGGGAAAGCUUUUCGGUGGCGGGACUGGCGACGCGCUGAUUAAGGAUAUGGAAUGGCGAUGGCGAUG